AAAGCGUGCGGACCAUUGGAUGUCCGUUCGGUUCUGAGACCGGCUGAUAGGAAAACCCGUCAGCGUAAAGUCAGGGAAUCGACAAGGGGAACCUUCGGGGGAACCGAUGACGUAGCGCGAUGCUUUCAAGAAACAACCUCUAGCUGUCGAUAGCAACCGUACCAAAACCGACACAGGUGGGUAAGAAGAAAAUUCUAAGGCGCGCGAGAGAACUCACGUUAAGGAACUCUGCAAACUAGCCUCGUAACUUCGGGAGAAGAGGCACCACAAAGGGUGAUGGAGAACAUUUAGAGCCCUUUGAGGUCGCAGUGAAAUGGCCCAGGCGACUGUUUAACAAAAACACAGCACUCUGCUAAUUCGUCUAAGAAGACGUAUAGGGUGUGAUACCUGCCCAAUGCCGAAAGGUCAAAAGGAGGCGUCAGUCCGCAAGGACAAAGCGCUGAAUUUAAGCCCCGGUGAAUGGCGGCCGUAACAAUAACGGUCCUAAGGUAGCGAAAUUCCUUGUCGGGUAAGUUCCGACCUGCACGAAUGGUGUAACGAUCUGGGCGCUGCCUCAACGAGAGACUCGGUGAAAUUGUAGUAGCAGUGGAGAUGCUGUUUACCCGCAAUAAGACGGAAAGACCCCGUGAACCUUUACUGUACUCUGAUAUGGGCUCUUGACUUGUUAUGUGUAGGAUAGCCAGGAGGCUUAGAAGUUGCGUCGUUAGGCGUGAUGGAGCCAAUAGUGAAAUACUGGUCUUAACAAGUUGAGAAUCUAACAGCACUCCAUGAAGCUGGAGGCUGGACAGUGUCAGACGGGCAGUUUUACUGGGGCGGUAUCCUCCCAAAGAGUAACGGAGGAGUCCAAAGCUUGCCUCAUCGUGGUUGGUAAUCACGAAUCGAGCGUAAAAGUAUAAGGCAGGUUGACUGCAAGACCAACAAGUCGAGCAGGUACGAAAGUAGGGUUUAGUGAUCCGGCGGUGGAAAGUGGAAUCGCCGUCGCUCAACGGAUAAAAGGUACUCCGGGGAUAACAGGCUUAUCACCACCAAGAGUUCAUAUCGACGUGGCGGUUUGGCACCUCGAUGUCGACUCAUCGCAUCCUGGGGCUGGAGAAGGUCCCAAGGGUUUGGCUGUUCGCCAAUUAAAGCGGUACGCGAGUUGGGUUCAAAACGUCGUGAGACAGUUUGGUCCCUAUCUGUUGCGGGCGUAGGAAUUUUGAGAGGAGUUGCUUCUAGUACGAGAGGACCGAAGUGAACGAACCAAUGGUGUGCCGGUUGUAGCGCCAGCUGCAUAGCCGGGUAGCUAUGUUCGGAAAGGAUAAGCGUUGAAAGCAUCUAAACGCCAAGCCUCCCUCAAGAUAAAAAUUCCCAAUGAGACCCCAAGAAGAUUACUUGGUUGAUAGGUUGGGUGUGUAAGUGCAGUAAUGCAUUAAGCUAACCAAUACUAAUCGGUCCAAUGACUAGA
RNAcentral lists this ribosomal RNA (1444 nucleotides) under metagenome. RNAcentral describes it as "bacterial LSU rRNA". It matches the Rfam family "Bacterial large subunit ribosomal RNA", at positions 1483 to 2925 of the family's 2925-position model. The record is from RNAcentral.